Molecule: ribosomal RNA, 860 nt
Filed under: human gut metagenome
Description: bacterial SSU rRNA
Rfam family: Bacterial small subunit ribosomal RNA
Source: RNAcentral
UCCUGGCUCAGGAUGAACGCUGGCGGCGUGCCUAAUACAUGCAAGUCGAACGCUUCACUUCGGUGAAGAGUGGCGAACGGGUGAGUAAUACAUAAGUAACCUGGCAUCUACAGGGGGAUAACUGAUGGAAACGUCAGCUAAGACCGCAUAGGUGUAGAGAUCGCAUGAACUCUAUAUGAAAAGUGCUACGGGACUGGUAGAUGAUGGACUUAUGGCGCAUUAGCUUGUUGGUAGGGUAACGGCCUACCAAGGCGACGAUGCGUAGCCGACCUGAGAGGGUGACCGGCCACACUGGGACUGAGACACGGCCCAGACUCCUACGGGAGGCAGCAGUAGGGAAUUUUCGGCAAUGGGGGAAACCCUGACCGAGCAACGCCGCGUGAAGGAAGAAGUAAUUCGUUAUGUAAACUUCUGUCAUAGAGGAAGAACGGUGGAUAUAGGGAAUGAUAUCCAAGUGACGGUACUCUAUAAGAAAGCCACGGCUAACUACGUGCCAGCAGCCGCGGUAAUACGUAGGUGGCGAGCGUUAUCCGGAAUUAUUGGGCGUAAAGAGGGAGCAGGCGGCACUAAGGGUCUGUGGUGAAAGAUCGAAGCUUAACUUCGGUAAGCCAUGGAAACCGUAGAGCUAGAGUGUGUGAGAGGAUCGUGGAAUUCCAUGUGUAGCGGUGAAAUGCGUAGAUAUAUGGAGGAACACCAGUGGCGAAGGCGACGAUCUGGCGCAUAACUGACGCUCAGUCCCGAAAGCGUGGGGAGCAAAUAGGAUUAGAUACCCUAGUAGUCCACGCCGUAAACGAUGAGUACUAAGUGUUGGGGGUCAAACCUCAGUGCUGCAGUUAACGCAAUAAGUACUCCGCCUGAGU